CAAGAGAGGGCGCGCAGACUCUUGAAAGGAACUAAAGGGGAAAAACGAGAGAGAGGGACCCAGUGCUGAUACGGCGUAGGCACGCACACGCACGCGUGCUGCAGGCGUGGUGAGCGCGGGAACGGGGCGAACAAGAACCGCGCGAUUACGGCUACAAAAACGUCAGGGAAAGGAAACGGGAGAGAACCGAAAGAGGUGUGCGGUGCUCCGGCAACCGCAAGAUGCAGCAGCAGCCACGUCGCUGCAGCCGCGGCUCUGUAUCUCCCUCUUGUGAGGGGUACAGCUAUGUAAAGGCGAUCAUCGUGGAGGAGGGAGAAGAGGGAGGAAAGGAGGAUGGGGUGGGCAUGGGCGAGGACAGAGGUCCAAGUGUCGGCGGCGGCGACGGUGGCACCAGCUGCGUCAGCAACUCGCCCCUUACUUCCAGUUCGGGCGUCAGCGUUCACGAAGCCCACCCACCGCGGGCGGCGGCCACAGUGGCAACGGCUCCACUGGGGCUAAUCGCGUCGGGCUUAGACGAACCUCUGUUCAGUCAGCAGGCGCACCCCCUCCCCACGAAGAGCAGAGUGACUGAGGCGCCGCAAACCCCGCCACCACUACUACAUCCAGUUGUCGGUGGCGCCACCAGGGCUGUGGACGCUGGUGAUAGGACAAGCACGGCACGAAUCAUGCGACUAGAUCCCGUCGCGCCCUCCUGGCCCUCUUCUUCGGCUCCCCAUGCGGCGACCCAUCACACGCUGCGCCUCCGACCCUCUGCCGCCUUACUGCAGCCCCCGCCAAGCACGCCGCAGCUGCGCGAGCACGUAGACGAAGAGGUGUGGGCGCCGCCUUCAAAGCGUCUGCGCCCACACCUGAGCAGCCCCACUGCCCCUCCGGCGAUGCCUCCUUCGGCAACGGCACCUGGUGGGCUCAGCACUACAGGAGUCGGCGGCAGCCGCUGCCGCGUCUUGCGGCUGCCGCUGCCGAGCAGCAAUGCCGCUCCCGCCGACACCGCAACGGCGCCAGCACAUACGCCAGCGUCAGUUGCCGUUGCGGGCAGUGGCAGUCGUGAGGGUGUGGCCACCGCAAGCACCAACGUCUCCGCGCGUGGUGAGGCGCUUAAGGAGGGCAGAGGAGAAGCACUAGAAGAGUCAGAGAGCACAAGAAAGACCAACGAGGAGGCGCAACGUGCGUUAGACACGCCUGCCGAUGGCCCUUUGCGUGUCUCACCGGCGUCGCCAGCCGGCGCCACCAUCCCUAACCCUGAGGCGACUGGCAUCGGUGCCGUGCCUGUGUCAGCGAGCGCGGCGCCGCGCCCAACGCCGUUCCUCACAAGCACUCCCUCGCGCGCCGUGUCUGUCAACGCACCAAACGCCGGGUCGCCCCUGACCGCCACCGUGGGGUCGGCCGUUUCGCAGCAGCCGCAGCAGACCCGGUCGGCCGCACCCGUCGCGAUGGGGACAAGCGGCUUCUCACGCCUACGCUCGCUUACACCCACGCCGUAUCCCGGCACGCAAGGGUCUCCAUACCGUCGUCACCGCUUUGUGGGGGUGAACCUCCCCGGUGCUCCGCCACCGUCCAUUGACUUCAGCUCCAUUCAGCGCACCGUGAAGGAAGUCUAUGAAGUGCACGAGAAGCUCAGCGAGGGCACGUACGGCGAGGUGUUCAAGGGCGUCGACAAGCGAACCGGCGCUGCGGUGGCGCUGAAGCGCAUCAAGAUGCUGAGCACCCAUCAAGGAUUUCCCCAGACCUCGCUGCGGGAGGUGAUUGCCCUUCGGCACAUCCAGAACCAGCGCGAGCGGCUCGAAGAACGACUGCGCAACGACGCGCAUCACCGUGGCGCGGUGGCCAUCACGGAUCCUCUCGCUGAGGUCUCGCAACUGUGUGAUGUUCUCCUCUACGAUCGGCAGCAGCGCGACAUUGUGUUGGUGUUCGCGUACGCCACAGCGAGUCUGGCUGGCCUGUGUCGCCGCCAGUUCGCCUUCACACCAUCGGAGAUGGCCCUUCUCAUGAAGAAGCUUCUCAUCGCGGUGCGCAAGCUGCACGAGAUGCGCAUCAUUCACCGGGACAUCAAGUCUGACAACGUACUCGUAACGAGUGAGGGCGAGGUGCAGCUGACCGACUUUGGGCUGUGCUCCAUCGCAGCGCCUGGGUCGUCGCGAUCUGGCACGCAUGUGUGGCGGACGCCGAGCGUGAUUACUCUGGCCUACCGUCCGCCAGAGAUGCUGUUGGGCAGUACCGCGUAUGAUGAGAAGGUCGAUGUGUGGUCGCUUGGGUGCCUGCUCGCUCAGAUGUUCCUCCUCGAGCCCCCCUUCUACAGGCACCGCGCGCAGGCGCAGCAGCAGCAGCAACGUGCUCCAGAGCGAUCGGCGGCCACGGAGCUCGAGCAGCUCUCCCGCAUUACAGAGAUUCUGGGGCCACUGCCGCCGGUGAGCGUUUAUCACCCGGACUCGUGUCAGCACAUGCGGGUUCUAGAGCAGCUGGAAGUGCAGGGGCGCCUGGCGGAGGCUGGGCGAGCAGCACAACCGGCAAACUGGGGCAGGCUGCAGACCAUCUUCGAGCCCAGCUUUCUGUAUCAGCAGUUCCACGGCUUUCGGGGCUGGUUUGAGGCGGAGUUGGGGCGCUCGCGGCACCAGCCACAUCGUCGGCCCACGCAGGCAUGCAUGGAUGUGCUCUGCGCGGCCCUGCAACUCGACCCGCAGCAGCGUCCCACCGCGGCAGAGCUGCUGCGCAUGCCGUACUUUACCACCUUGGACGACGCCCCGUUGCUGGGCAGCUAUCAACGGGUCCUCCCCGUCACCCCGGAGCGGGAAGCUGAGGUACGCCGCGGUUUCAUGGCAAAGGUGCAACGAUGCGGGGACAGUCACACGCAGCGCCGCCCGCAUCAGUGACACACCACACGAGCGCAAGCGCAGCAGCAACAGGCCAGAGGAACCUAGACAGUGCAAGACGCGAGUUUGUGUGCAUGUGCGGUUCCCCAGCGGAUUGGUUUCAGUGGCGCCCCACACGCUCUAAAGUCAAGGAAUGAAAAAGGUGUCGUGUGUGUGUGUGUGUGUUUUGGCUCCUCUUCUUUGCACAUAACGGCAGCAGUCGCGCCUACAGGAGACGAGGAAAGCACCGGCGCGUCGCGCACCCACAUCCGGGCGAUGGUCGUCUGCCGGAAAAAGAGGGGGAGGGAGCGAUACAGGGAGGGGAGACGUGUUCAUGCGUAGUUGUUGCUUGCCUUUUGGAAGUCCGCCUUCGCAACUCACCCAUCGUUGCGGACGCGUGCAGAGGUGGUGGGGCGGGCGUGAGCGUGAGCGUGAGCGUUUUCUCUGUCGUCGUGCUUUACAUCCUUUUCUCUCUGCGGGUGUGUGCGUAGGCAGCCAAUCGCCAUCCGUCCUCUUCACCGCCACACCCUCUCGGUCUGUGGGAUUGGUGGCUUCGGUGUGCCUCUCCUGCCGCAGCACGGCGUGCGCCACCUUGCUUCCGACACACCUGUGGCCCGCCCUACCCUGCGAAAGCACAAGAAACCGAAAAAAAAAAAUACUAGU
This 3509-nucleotide unclassified non-coding RNA is filed under the name Leishmania donovani. RNAcentral describes it as "gene:LdHU3.09.0440(CDS-product:cdc2-related_kinas e_12)". Lineage: Eukaryota; Euglenozoa; Kinetoplastea; Trypanosomatida; Trypanosomatidae. The record is from RNAcentral.